AUUUUCUUGUAUCACCAGAUAGUAGAUGGCCAAAUUAUUUGGAUACAAAUAUGUCUUGAGAAUAUCAUCAAAUCCAUUUUAAUUUCAUUCAUGCCUUAGAGAUAAUAAUUUGAAGAGCUAGUCACUGCUUGCAAUUAAGCGUAGAGAAAAUAGAUCUGUCCCAUAAUUUAUGUCUGCAAAGGUUGGGCUGGAUUUGUAAUUAAUGUUUGCUCCUUUUAAUGAAAUACUCCAAAGGUCUGCACUUCUGUCAUUCAUGGAGGUAAUUUUUCAAUUGAUUAGUAAAAUAAUACUUGAAAAGUAAAUGCACCUGCUUUAGCACAGAAAUGUCUUAGUCAGGUAGAGACAAUGAUUAGAGUGCUAAAAAAAUAUCAUUUCAAUACAGUAGAGACUGGAGUUUUACUCCUCCAGAAUUCAGAACUCCCACUAAGGAGGAAGAAAGAAAAGGUAAUUAAACCUCCAACAACUUAUUCAGCAUGCUUUUAUCCAAUUUAAUUCCUUGGUGGUUUUCGGCAUAGCUAAAUACUUUUAGGAGCACAUGCCUGAAAUGUGCAUUAGCACAAGUGAAAUAUCUUCAGUAAGCACGCAUUACAGCAAGACAUAAUUUUUAUAGCAGUGUACCUUAGUAUUUUUGGAGGACAUGAACAAAUAAUUUAAUAUUUUGAGUUUGUUUCCAUUUUGGAUAAACACUCAAAAUUUUAUGGCUCAUUUAGCUCCUAUUCUGAUUUUCUUUUUAGACUCAAACCUUUAUAAGACUAAAAAUGCGACACUUGAGAGUUAGGGUCCUGCAACUGCUGGUUAAAAAAUGGCUUGUAGUGUCCUUUCUAAAACAGCUGCUACAAAAGAGAAUAAAAUAUAUAACAAGCUACUUGUACAUGCUUUCAGGGAAUCUCUAAGGAUUUUGUUUGAAUUAGUCACUAAAGAAAGGAUGUUUGAUGACUUCUCUUGUUUUGUUAAUUUAGUCAUUUUGACACAAAGAGUUACUACUCCUGUACUACUGAGGCCUCACAGUCUGUAGUGAUGAACUUUCAAGGGAUGAUUGUGACCAGACUAGACAGACCGCAGAGUAUGAGCCAGAAUCCGUGCUAAUUUUCUUGAAGGCCGCAAAGAGUGUAGUCAGAGAGGUUUUGAACCACCUGUCAUUGGGACAAGGAUUUUGCUUCCAGAGAAGCAAGCAAGAGAAGCGAAUAAAUGUGGUGAAAAUAACCCUUAUCCAGUGUUAACUGUGGGAAGCAGAGCAAUCCAGAUAUUUUCUGGAUCGUCAUUUAUGGCUUCCUCAUCGAUAUGCUUUAUGCAAUGAUAUUUGGGCCAUGCUGGCACUGGCUGGCUCAGAAGACAGCUGCUGUGAGUCAUCUCUGAGGCACUCAGCUCUCCACAUGCAAUGACAGGAAGCCCAGUUUGAACCAGAUUGUACAGCAUCGUGUCCGUGAACUUCCAGAGUUCGCAUUAAAAACUGACAGAACAUCAGAGUGCCAGAAGCUUCUCAUAUUGUGGCUCAGGAGGACUCACCAUCUGGGACUCCAGUAGGAUACUUGAGGAAUUAUUGCUCCAGGAGUAACAUUUUGUGCUGUGACCAUAGGUGGUAAGCUAUGCCUGCAAGAACACAGGCACUCUGCAACUCCAUCUGUUUUUGCAAAUGUGUCUCAUUUCUUCAUGAAACUGGGUGUCUGCUGAAAAUGAGGAUGGGAAGAAAAGAGGACUCAAAAAUUGGAAACACAAACGUACAAAGUUUGCAAAGCAUGUGGGUAAGUAGGGGGCUGACUGAUGAGACAUUUCUAGGCCUCGCAGGGCCUUCCAGUAUACUCUAGCACCACUUGAAGCCUGCAGGACCCAAGUAGCCUUGUAGAGCCUUUAGAGCAGAGAGAAUGGCCAUGAGAGGCCUUUAGUUUGCACUGGGUUUCCUUCAGGUCAACCUGCAGGAUAGUGGAGAGGUGCGUAAGGCAUCUAAUUGGCAAUAGAGGACACUGGGAGGCAUCCGGGGGGCACUUGAGUGAACCAGGAGUGUUGG
Long non-coding RNA from Oxyura jamaicensis (ruddy duck), 2005 nucleotides. RefSeq lists it as uncharacterized. The transcript is spliced from 5 exons. NCBI's taxonomy places the organism in Eukaryota, Metazoa, Chordata, Aves, Anseriformes, Anatidae. The record is from RefSeq and is a predicted model, not a curated record.